CCUACGGGAGGCAGCAGUGAGGAAUAUUGGUCAAUGGGCGCGAGCCUGAACCAGCCAAGUCGCGUGAGGGAAGACGGUCCUAUGGAUUGUAAACCUCUUUUGUCGGGGAGCAAAAGACGCCACGCGUGGCGUUCCGAGAGUACCCGAAGAAAAAGCAUCGGCUAACUCCGUGCCAGCAGCCGCGGUAAUACGGAGGAUGCGAGCGUUAUCCGGAUUUAUUGGGUUUAAAGGGUGCGCAGGCGGAAGAUCAAGUCAGCGGUAAAAUUGAGGGGCUCAACCUCGUCGAGCCGUUGAAACUGGUUUUCUUGAGUGAGUGAGAAGUAUGCGGAAUGCGUGGUGUAGCGGUGAAAUGCAUAGAUAUCACGCAGAACUCCGAUUGCGAAGGCAGCAUGCCGGCGCUCAACUGACGCUCAUGCACGAAAGUGUGGGUAUCGAACAGGAUUAGAUACCCCAGUAGUC
RNAcentral lists this ribosomal RNA (459 nucleotides) under uncultured bacterium. Its description in RNAcentral is "partial 16S ribosomal RNA". It matches the Rfam family "Bacterial small subunit ribosomal RNA", at positions 338 to 795 of the family's 1533-position model. The record is from RNAcentral.